RNAcentral lists this transfer RNA (72 nucleotides) under Camelus bactrianus (Bactrian camel). It matches the Rfam family "tRNA". Rfam says of the family: Transfer RNA (tRNA) molecules are approximately 80 nucleotides in length. Their secondary structure includes four short double-helical elements and three loops (D, anti-codon, and T loops). RNAcentral also lists the same sequence under 3 other names. The record is from Rfam by way of RNAcentral. Lineage: Eukaryota; Metazoa; Chordata; Mammalia; Artiodactyla; Camelidae.
GAGGGUAUAGCUCAGUGGUAGAGCUCAUGCUUAGCAUGUAUGAGGUCCUGGGUUCAAUCCCCAGUACCUCCA